RNAcentral lists this long non-coding RNA (215 nucleotides) under Elaeis guineensis (African oil palm). RNAcentral describes it as "long non-coding RNA (EGUI_LNC027768)". Lineage: Eukaryota; Viridiplantae; Streptophyta; Magnoliopsida; Arecales; Arecaceae. The record is from RNAcentral.
GGCCGGAUGACAUUUGAUUGAGAUGAUCUUUUUUGAGACCAGAUAUCUUUUCAAGAUCUAUAAUUUGAUGCCAAGGGAGUUGAAUUGGAUCGAAAUUCGAUCAUUUGGACUCUGACGUAGGCUGGUCAAAUCGAAAUGUCAAUUAUUGUCGAUUGGGUGUUCUCUCACUUAUCUACAGUAACUAAAUUUUUUGAUGGCUUGGUCUCUAUUGACUU